GGCCACGGCCAUAUCACCCUGAACGCACUGGAUCUAGUCUGAUCUCGGAAGCUAAGCAAGGUCAGGCCUGAUUAGUACUUGGAUGGGAGAAAAAUUAGCCUGGCGUGGUGG
This 111-nucleotide ribosomal RNA is filed under the name Propithecus coquereli (Coquerel's sifaka). Lineage: Eukaryota; Metazoa; Chordata; Mammalia; Primates; Indriidae. The record is from RNAcentral.